This 3055-nucleotide long non-coding RNA is filed under the name Scleropages formosus (Asian bonytongue). RNAcentral describes it as "lncRNA (ENSSFOG00015026459.1)". Lineage: Eukaryota; Metazoa; Chordata; Actinopteri; Osteoglossiformes; Osteoglossidae. The record is from RNAcentral.
GGGGCAGUCAGGAGUCCCGAGUGCUGGGGAUGGUGGCACCCACCAUGAGGACCCCAGCCCUGGGUUCCCCGUUCAUCGCGUCCGAUGGGACCCUUCACUCCCACAGAGGUCUGCAGCCUCACUCCCCCUUGGCACGAGUAGCAGGGAGGGACCUGGACGACUACCGGCCCGUCCCGCCGGCCACGGCCUCCGACGAUCCCAAAGGUGGGAACACACACACACACACACACACACACACACACACACACACACACACACACACACACACACACACACACGCACGCACAGAGCUGCCAUUGCAAAGUAUAUGCUUACAGGUGAAACCCAUGGGAACAUCUUUGGUUAGAUCACGGUGUCACUGCGAAUCGGCACUGGCAGUUUGUACCGCGUUCUUCAUACCGUGGAUUGCGCAACCGGAGCCCGAGGGAGCGGCAGUCAGGCUCUCAGUCUGGUCGCCAGUUUUGCAAGCAGAAGUUGCCCGCUUCCUGCAGCAGCUAUGAUGGGCUCUUUUUCUCCCGAUGGCUGUCUAGAUCCAACCGCCGGCACUCGGGAGCUCCCUUCCCCGGCCGCAGAGCUCUUACACCCCGGCAGCGCCCCUCUAAAGCCCCCACCGGAGAUCCCCCAGCCGAGGAGGGCCGUCCCCGCGGCGACCGUCCCGCUGUCUGCUCUGACCUGCGACCCCUGGAGGGCGGACGCCUCUCAGGUCAAACGUCUAUAUUCGAAACCGUUUUUAAAAUUCCUUCCUGAAAAUUCCCUUUGCCGCAUUUGCUCCUCAAUCCUCAUUCAGGUCGUUUUCCACCACAUUUUGGGGAUCAUGAGCAACGACGGCCUUCGCUGCCGUUACACGCUAAGAAAAAACCAGACACCGCAAAAAAUCAGCCUCAUUAACUUUCAUUUCAUUUCCCCCAGGAGACCUCCUUCAUCGCGUUCCUCUCCCGUCACCUUUUUUUAUUUGAUUUUAUUUAGUUUUAUUUACUCCAUUUCAAUUCCAUUCGUCCAUCAUGCGCAGGCUUUUCCGGUAAUGCCUGCCAUAGGCUUCAUCCCUCCCGCCAGGCCUCCGGGGGACGGGCCCUUCUUCCAGAGGGAGAGUGCGAACGCAGCCGAGUUCCCCCCAAACAGCAGAGAGGUCCUGUGGCCGUUACCCAACUACCCCGCCAUAUUUCCCGACGCCCUCACCAUGCCUCCUUCAUACCAGUGUCCCACCUACGUGCCUCACCUUCCGCUCCACCCGUCCUGGUACAGGUUGGACAUCCCACCUUUUCUGUACAAGAAGGCCUCCGUCCACCCGUCUGAGCUGAGUGCGUUCCCUCCCCUUCACCUGUCCCACCCUCUGUCCAGGGACACCUUUGGGCUCAAACCGUCUGGGUUUGCGGUUGGCCCUCACAGCAGCUCCGCAGAAGGAAGAAUAGUCAAGGAAGGGGCGGCGAUCCAUAAGAGCAAGGAGAGCAAGCCUGUUUCCCAUUUGCCCCAGAAUGUGCUAAUGCACACGCCAGAACGUCUGCAGAGGAAGGAGGGGAAGGGGCAGAGAAUGGUGGUAACGGGCAGGACCCCCAGUCGAGAUGGGGGCAAGCCAGACAAGAACCGGAUGGUUGCCGUGGAAACGCUUCCUAUCGCCAACUCCUGUUUCAAUAGGCAUAGAAGGGGAUUUUCCAGUUCAGCUCCCUCAGGGCCAGAUGUUCAAGACUUGGGUCAAAAUCCGGAGUGUCAUUUGUGGCCGUGGGUGUCUUUGCAACACACGAAAAAAGCGGCCAGGUCUAAUGGGUUGCUGGUUCCAGGAAGACCUCAGCAUCUGACCAAAGAGGGUCAACUUUCCCAUGUUUUGCCUCCAGUCAAGACCAAGCUGAAGGAUGGUCUCAACAGGAGAGAUGGAGAGAAAGGUUUGGCACAAGUGGAUUCUGGGAGCUACCUGAGACAUCUACUAACAGAACCACGGGAUUCUCUGAAGGCCUUAGACCUCAGUCCAAAGAUCCAGCGAGGUAAAUAUAGGGAUGAGCACAAGGCCACACAGCCGUCCCCCAGCAGAGCUCGAGAUGAGAUCCACCAAAAGGGGGAGAGUGUCUCUUCACGUGGGCAACAAGAAGACUGUUCACCAGCGCCGGCAGAAAAUGAGCAGAAUGAUACACAAGGUCAAAGGUCAGCAAGAUCCAGCUCCAUGCCCAACCUGUUGUUAACUCACAGUCCGCACAGCGAACAUGAAAGACUGAAGGGUUUCGGUGGAAGAGGCAUCAGCACAAAAGAGGAGCUUCAGAAGAAAGAGGUUCACUUGAAAAGGGGAUCUCCUCGGGGUGGAGCAAAUCUGAACCUCAGAGUGCCUGGAAAUGGACACCUAGGCGCUGGGGGGCUGACCUGCACCAAAGGUGCCAAUGAAACAAAUCCAAGCAAAAGGGCACUUGAACCUCCUGCGACAAAAAGUGAAGAAUCAGCUCAGGAAUCUUCCCCAGCGAAGACCAGUAGACUGGGUCACUGUGAAGCCCCAGCAAACUCUUCUUCAUGUACAAUAAGUGGCAGCCAGGAAAGUUCAUGCUCAGCUCAUUGUGAGUGCUCAUCCUUGCAGGUGGGGGGUGAGAAGACCCAAGAGAAUGCGAAAAGAAGACUUUGUGGAAAUACCACGAGCCAGGGGGGGUCGGCAGAACGUUCCCCAGGCGGCUUCCCAAAUCAGUGCUGGGAGGAGCCCGUCCAAGAACAUGAUGGUUACCAGGACCACGCAGAUGGGACGCAUGGUGUUCACGGUCAGGUGGGAGGUUUCAGCAUUUUGGACCUGACCACAUCCAGCUUGUCCAGCGAUGAGGAGACAGAGGAGAAGCCUGGCUGGCAGGGGGUGGAAGGUGUACUGGAGAUGUACAAGUCCUACUUAGAAGAGACCACAUUUGAAGAGAAGAUACUUCAAGAGCAGCUCAGACUUUCGAAAGAGAAAAACAACGAGCUCAGUCGGGUGGCCAAAAAUCUGAAGGCGCAGAUCCAGGACCUGCAGACCAGCAAGGAGAAGCUGGAGGCGGAGCAGCGGCUCCAAGAGGCGGCACUGGACCGGCUCAGGAGCUGCCUUGUCCUCGUCUAG